RNAcentral lists this long non-coding RNA (5137 nucleotides) under Zea mays. RNAcentral describes it as "long non-coding RNA (ZMAY_LNC000562)". The stretch from base 512 to 607 matches the Rfam family "Small nucleolar RNA SNORD25". The record is from RNAcentral. Lineage: Eukaryota; Viridiplantae; Streptophyta; Magnoliopsida; Poales; Poaceae.
GAGAAAUUUGAUUGGAUUUGAUGCGAUUUGUUGCGCUUCGUCAUCUGGUCGUUGGGAGGAUUGGUUCUGCCAAUCGGUUCCCAACGGACUCGUUCCCUUGAAGCUACAUAAUUCCGUUGUAUCUUGGGCCGGCUCUUUACCGUGUGCCUUCAAUUAUUCCCCAUGAACAGGGGCACCCCACGGCUCUUACAUACAUGGCUCUGUUAGAAUGCUGUUUUGUGCUAUUGAUUAUUCUUGUCUUUCACAUGAUGGCUGUUUAGAUUUUGAAAUGAUGUCUGUGAUAACAGUGACGAAUCCUUACAUAGUUACAGAUCUGUGAUGAUUGUUGCAAGAAGAUCGCAUCAUUCAAAGCACAUCUAAGCUGAGCUGUCAUCGUUUCAGAAUUUUUUUUCUGAUAGGUUUACUGUCUGGUGACGUUCUCCUUUUUUUUCUAAUGCUUAGAUUAUAGAACUUAGAAGUGAUGUUUAUUUGGUAACAUUAGAUUUGAAGUGAAGUGUCUUUGAUAAUAUUUGGUAACAGUGAUGACUCCUUGCACAGUUACAGACCUGUGAUGAUUCUUGCGGACAUGAUCGCAUGAUUCAAAGAACAUCUAAGGGACUGAGUUAUCAAUUGCCAUGAAUGUUGUGCUCUAUUUUCUUUAUGACAGGCUUAUUUGCUGCUACCGCCGUUGGUUCAGUUUUGUUUGUUUGUGCCGCUUCACUUGGUUCAUGCCCAUGAGCUGUUUUUGGCUCACGAGCUUUGGAAAGGUGAAGCAAAAGUCUCAGUGGUUCCUCUCGCUAUCCAGGGCAGAAUUUUUUGUUUGAUGCUGCUGGACGUCGAGGAACUAUAUUCUACUAGCUUAUAUAUCCUAAUAAAUGUACUUGCUGUGCUAGUUAAGUUUUUUGGGUUGGAACUUCUGAGGUGAAUGAAUUGAUUGUUUGUCUGAUGAUAUUUUGCAGCCGUGCAGUCCAGAGGUUUGCUGUGAAGACCAACAAGACUCUUGAGAGCCUAUCGUCUAAAGGUAGAUUUUUCUGUUGGUAAAAUCGUUAACAGUUUUGCUGAAUUCUACUCUUUUGUGUUUUAUUACUUGGACAUAUGUAUAUCUGAACAUCAAUUGAGUAAUUGAGUACCUAAUUUGCCACCAUGCUAGAACAGUGUAUCAGAUUUCUAGUUUUGGGGGCUUUUGUCAGUUUGUCAAUAUAUUCAUCUAAUCUAAUGAUGACCGAGUUCUCCCCUUUUCAGCCAAGGAAAUGAGGGAGGAGUUAUCGGAACAAUUCAAGGAUGCUCGUGGCCAGAAAGAUGUAUAGAAACAAUUUUGUCUUCUGUUAUUCUUUUGUCCUAGUGUAGUUCCAAAUGUCUUGGUUGGUUGGUAGUUUCAGUGCUAGAUAUCUCACCAUCUGAGAUCUCUGUUUUGCAGCACUUCAAGCAGUGAAGCCGAUCCCCAAAGUUGAUUCAACGACACGAAUCUAGCUAUGAGUUUUUUCUAGUUCUCGUCCGGGUCCUAUUUAUGAAUGGCAUUUGAAGGGAUUUCUUGGUGUCGUUCAAUGGACGGAUCCGUUGUAUAAAGUUUAUCUGCACUUAGAUUAGUAGAUAUAUUGGUAGACACAUCACUUUCUGCUGCCCCUUUUUCAUAAAUACAUAUAUCUCGAUCUCUACUGUAUUAGCAAAACUACCUCAGUUUCUACCGUUUUCGUGCUCUACACAAUUUACGUGUUGUUUGGUUCCGUACCCUCAACAGUAAUGUGAGUUAAUAAUGGAUAAAAAAGACUAAAUCAAACAACACCUUAAAGGAUAAAAAUGCUGAAAUUAUGCGUAAGUAGAGAUUCAACCAUAAUUGUUGACUCUAAAAUUGUAUUUGUAUCUAUCUAGCUAACAUAACAUAUUUACAUAGAUAUAAAGCAACGUACUAGUAUUUUACUAGUCUCUACUAUACUUAAAGCACCAGUUUAACGGUAGUCCUGCGUCUUCUUUUUACAAAAGUCUCUACAUUUCUUUCAAAUCAACUUAGCGUAAAAUGUUAAAAAACAGUACAGGAGUUGGGGUUUAAACCCAGAUGGGAGAUACUAGAUGAAUCUGUCUAACCAGUAGAACACAUGCUCAAGUGUUUAUAAUAUUGAAUAUAAAUUGUGUAUAUAUAUAUAUAUAUAUAUGUUUUUUUGUAAAAUUAAGAAACAAUCAUGUCAGGCUGGGCCAGUACUACGGGCCGAGGCUACGACUCAAGCACCGCACGUUGCUCGUACUGGGUUGGCCCAGACACUAUUAAAUGGGUCGUGUCUUGGGCUGACUUGCCAGACACGACUCAUUUGACCAUCUAUACCUUCGCACGAUAAAGAUGUUCCUCGCCUCAGUUACCACCACCUUGUUUGCCAUUCUACCUUUUCUCUCUCUCCCCUCGUAUCUCCACCUCCGCGCGCACCCCAUUCUCGGCAGAGAGCAUAAGAGCAUGCGUCUACUCCCCGUAUUCCGACUCGCGAAGUGGCUAUUACACGUCCAUGAGUACGUUUUACAUCAUGCGUACAUCGUUUUCGCCGUUGUCGGACGUCCCAUUCGUCUUCCCGGCCUUCGCCUUGUUCUUCCUCCUAAUCUGCUGCCCCCGCCCAUGGUCGUAGCCGCGAGCCGACCGAUGCUCGUCGAUGCGGGAUACGGGGCGAUUCGGUCAUGCUCCUGUCCUUUCUCCGUGCAUGUCGUCGAGGAGGACAUGGUGACGUCUGCCACGCUUAGGUUAUCUUGGCGAUGAGGAGUCUAGGUCUGAGAUAUUGGACAACCAAGGCCCGUAGUGUGGCAGCAGUUGGCAUGUGUUAUAGAGUUGGUGGUUGUGUUGUGUCGCUUCAGUGGGUCCAGGGCUGGGAAGACACUCGCAUUCUCUCGCCCUUCUCAGAUUGACGCUGGUGCGGGUGCCUUUCGGUUUGGAGCUUCUCCGGCUGGACUUCUUUCUCCGAUUGUGUGCUCUCUCCUUAUAUAUCUAGCGGUAUACUACCUAUGUCGCCUCAUAUGCCCACUUCUUCGUCGUGUUCUUCUCCAGCAACGAACAGGUAUAUCCGUCUCUUCCCUUCCCCUCCUGCUCUACGAAACAUUAGAAGUGGGGGAGACAAGGUAUGGGGGUCUCUGAUUUGCUGCCUAUGGUACCCGUGCGUUCAUAAAAAAUAUUAUGCGAAUAGCGAAGACAAAUGAAUAAAAAAUCUUGAGAUCUUUUUGGUAGAUAAUUUACGUGGGUAUUAUUGUGAACCGUCGCAACGUACAGGUAAACGACUAGUAAUCCUUAUAAAUAUGUGUACCUAUAUUUUGUUUUUUCUAAGUGUGAAAUAUAGAACUGGAUAUGGAUUAACUGUCCAUUCCUUUAUAAGGAUUACUAGUGUGUGUAUGUAUGUACAACUCAAGUUUAGCUCUUUCUGUUUAGGUCUUUAGCAACUUCUAAGAGCAUCUACAAAAUACUCUUUAUUUUUAACUCUCUAUUUGACUCUUUAUUUAUCUCUCUAUAAAUAUUAAACUCUAUAUAUAACAUCCCAUUCUAACAGACUCUCCAACGUGUAAGUUAGCUUGGCUAGUGAGAGUUGCUAGCUAAAUUUGGCUAGUGAGAGAGUUAAUUUAGAGAGUCAGAUAGCUUAGCAAGUUAAAUGACUAGUCUGUUGAAGAGCUAUUAUGCUAUUAAGUAGCUAAGGGGGUGUUUGGUUACACCCCGCUAAAAUUUAGCCCCUGUCCCAUCGAAUGUUUGAAUCUCCGUUCCGGGUAUUAAAUGUAGUCGGAUUAUAAAACUAAUUUGUCAGCCGAAGAUUAAAAGACGAGACGAAUCUAGUUCAGUUGGUUGAGUCUAUAUUUCAUACUUUUAUUUAAAAGUCAAACGCUUGAUGUGACCCAGGCUAAACUUUAGCAGGAACAACCAAACACCCUCUAAAAUUUAGCUUGACUAGCUAUUUAGCUAGUCUCUUGGAGAUGCUCUAAGUGACUAAACUUAUUUUGUUUGAUCUUCUCAGAUCCAAAUAGGCCCUCAGAAGGUGACUCAUUAUAAGAAAAUUAUGAGAGUUUCGAGAACAAUAGUAGUAUGACCCGUGCGUAUAACCAGGGGUGCAUCCAAUAGUCAUCUAUUCAAUCAGACCGUAACUCAUCAGAAGAAAAUUAUAAAAGAGACGAUAAGUAAUUAUAGGACUCUGCCACAUAGAUCCUAAAUUUAGAACUCUAUAUGAUGGAGUCCUAGUAUGAUCUAUUUUCUGUUGGAGCUACAAAUAUUUUUAUAACUCUAAACACUUCAAAUGAUGUUCUACUCUUUAGAUUCAGUUCACCCUCUCUUAGGCCGUUCGGUUCUCUAGGUCCCGCACGUCUACGCUUUCUAUUUUUUUUAAAAGGUGAAUCCUUGCUAAAUAUAAUACUUAUUUGGAUAUCAAUUUUUUGAUCUUUUUCUUUGAUUACGGAUACAUAGAAUAUAAAAUUUAUUAUCUAAAUUUAUAUUUUUGUUUUUAGUAUUGAGCUUGUAAGAUUCAUAAAAAUAAGCCUUAAAUUUAUCAUAUAUAUUCUCAUAUGAUAAAUAUAAAAAUUGGAUACAAAUUUGGAUACGGAUACAAAUAUUUUCAUAUUUUUUGUUGUAAGGAGUAAAUAAUGUAUUUGAUAACAUAAGAAAAGAUUAUUAAAUUUCAUACAUAUUUAUUUUAAAAUAUUAAAUUUAUGCUAACAACUUGAUACUCACUUUUCAUCCCUACUACUUGGGUGAAAGGUAACGUAUCAAAUGCACAUGAUUCAUCUGGUGCACAUAUUAAAUUUGAACCCUUUCUCUAACGAUCAACGUCUGAGGUGCGAAUGGUUUUUCACAAAUAUAAGUUGCGCGUCGAUGAGUAAGUGUUGAAGUUUUUUAAUAAAAUAUCUCAAUCUUAAUCAUGGGACGAAGGGUGCAAAUUUAAUUUGUACAUAUGUGCACUAAGGGGAUGUGUGCACAUGAUAUGUUCCCGGACAAUUUUGGCCAGAUUAGGGCAUGGUGUCCGGGUGCGACCAAAUUUGAGGCUGAGCGGUGAGCCACUGCUGGCCAAAUGUAGGCUAGAUGCAAAGAGGAGGAGAGUCAAGGGCAUGACUGAACAGGAAAUGAGGGCACGACUAGAUUGGGCAUGGAGCUAGUGGACAACCAACACGGGUAGGAUGCUGAAGAGGCGAGGGAGCGACUGUAUGCGGCGGU